Molecule: non-coding RNA, 29 nt
Filed under: Rattus norvegicus (Norway rat)
Lineage: Eukaryota; Metazoa; Chordata; Mammalia; Rodentia; Muridae
Source: RNAcentral
UGGGAAUGCUGCAAGCAAGUCCUGGGUUC